This 765-nucleotide ribosomal RNA is filed under the name uncultured Streptococcus sp. Its description in RNAcentral is "bacterial SSU rRNA". It matches the Rfam family "Bacterial small subunit ribosomal RNA", at positions 28 to 776 of the family's 1533-position model. Lineage: Bacteria; Bacillati; Bacillota; Bacilli; Lactobacillales; Streptococcaceae. The record is from RNAcentral.
GACGAACGCUGGCGGCGUGCCUAAUACAUGCAAGUAGAACGCUGAAGAGAGGAGCUUGCUCUUCUUGGAAGAGUUGCGAACGGGUGAGUAACGCGUAGGUAACCUGCCUUGUAGCGGGGGAUAACUAUUGGAAACGAUAGCUAAUACCGCAUAACAAUGGGUGGCCCAUGUCAUUCAUUUGAAAGGGGCAACUGCCCCACUACAAGAUGGACCUGCGUUGUAUUAGCUAGUAGGUGAGGUAACGGCUCACCUAGGCGACGAUACAUAGCCGACCUGAGAGGGUGAUCGGCCACACUGGGACUGAGACACGGCCCAGACUCCUACGGGAGGCAGCAGUAGGGAAUCUUCGGCAAUGGGGGCAACCCUGACCGAGCAACGCCGCGUGAGUGAAGAAGGUUUUCGGAUCGUAAAGCUCUGUUGUAAGUCAAGAACGAGUGUGAGAGUGGAAAGUUCACACUGUGACGGUAGCUUACCAGAAAGGGACGGCUAACUACGUGCCAGCAGCCGCGGUAAUACGUAGGUCCCGAGCGUUGUCCGGAUUUAUUGGGCGUAAAGCGAGCGCAGGCGGUUUGAUAAGUCUGAAGUUAAAGGCUGUGGCUCAACCAUAGUUUGCUUUGGAAACUGUCAAACUUGAGUGCAGAAGGGGAGAGUGGAAUUCCAUGUGUAGCGGUGAAAUGCGUAGAUAUAUGGAGGAACACCGGUGGCGAAAGCGGCUCUCUGGUCUGUAACUGACGCUGAGGCUCGAAAGCGUGGGGAGCGAACAGG